GUGAGUGUAGCUCAGUUGGCAGAGCAUCAGAUUGUGGCUCUGAGGGCCGUGGGUUCAAGUCCCACCACUCACCCCA
RNAcentral lists this transfer RNA (76 nucleotides) under Candidatus Babelota bacterium. RNAcentral describes it as "Candidatus Dependentiae bacterium tRNA-His". It matches the Rfam family "tRNA". Rfam says of the family: Transfer RNA (tRNA) molecules are approximately 80 nucleotides in length. The record is from RNAcentral.